RNAcentral lists this small RNA (17 nucleotides) under Arabidopsis thaliana (thale cress). RNAcentral describes it as "ATSL186530". Lineage: Eukaryota; Viridiplantae; Streptophyta; Magnoliopsida; Brassicales; Brassicaceae. The record is from RNAcentral.
AAAAAAAAAGCAAAAAA